GGAAAGGAAGCUCCAUUGUUUCCAAGAACCCUGUCUGGAGGAGUCACACAAAUUUAGACAUUUCUUCCUCUGAUGUCCAUGCACCGUGAUUGUCUGAGGAAGAAGAGAAGUCCUUGAGGUAGCCACCAGGACACUUUAUGGCUCUUUGUAAUGUCAUUCACCGAUGCUCCUACCCUGGGUGGACUCUUCCUAACAUCAUCACCUUCUUCCGAUUCUCCCAGGAAUGUAUGCGGUAGUCAUUUAGGGAGAACCUUCUGAGCUACAGCAAA
Molecule: unclassified non-coding RNA, 269 nt
Organism: Microcebus murinus (gray mouse lemur)
Lineage: Eukaryota; Metazoa; Chordata; Mammalia; Primates; Cheirogaleidae
Source: Ensembl